GUGCCAGCAGCCGCGGUAAUUCCAGUCUCCAAUAGCGUAUAUUAAAGUUGUUGCAGUUAAAAAGCUCGUAGUUGAACCUUGGGCCUGGCUGGCCGGUCCGCCUCACCGCGUGUACUGGUCCGGCCGGGCCUUUCCUUCUGGGGAACCUCAUGCCCUUCACUGGGCGUGUUGGGGAACCAGGACUUUUACUUUGAAAAAAUUAGAGUGUUCAAAGCAGGCCUUUGCUCGAAUACAUUAGCAUGGAAUAAUAGAAUAGGACGUGUGGUUCUAUUUUGUUGGUUUCUAGGACCGCCGUAAUGAUUAAUAGGGAUAGUCGGGGGCAUCAGUAUUCAAUCGUCAGAGGUGAAAUUCUUGGAUUGAUUGAAGACUAACUACUGCGAAAGCAUUUGCCAAGGAUGUUUUCAUUAAUCAGUGAACGAAAGUUAGGGGAUCGAAGACGAUCAGAUACCGUCGUAGUCUUAACCAUAAACUAUGCCGACUAGGGAUCGGACGGUGUUGGUAUUUUGACCCGUUCGGCACCUUACGAGAAAUCAAAGUUUUUGGGUUCUGGGGGGAGUAUGGUCGCAAGGCUGAAACUUAAAGAAAUUGACGGAAGGGCACCACCAGGCGUGGAGCCUGCGGCUUAAAUUUGACUCAACACGGGGAAACUCACCAAGGUCCAGACACAAUAAGGAUUGACAGAUUGAGAGCUCUUUCUUGAUUUUGUGGGUGGUGUGCAUGACGUUCUAGUUGGUCGAGUGAUUUGUCUGCUUAAAUUGCGAUAAACGAACGAGAACUUAACCUGCUAAAUAAGCCAGGCCCGCUUUGGCGAGUCGGCCGGCUUCUUAAAGGG
Molecule: ribosomal RNA, 832 nt
Filed under: uncultured fungus
Lineage: Eukaryota; Fungi
Description: SSU rRNA
Rfam family: Eukaryotic small subunit ribosomal RNA
Source: RNAcentral